UAGCUCAGUGGUAAAGAAUCUGCCUGCCAAGCAGGAGACACAGGUUCAAUCCCUGA
This 56-nucleotide transfer RNA is filed under the name Bos taurus (domestic cattle). It matches the Rfam family "tRNA", at positions 8 to 63 of the family's 71-position model. From Rfam's summary of the family: Transfer RNA (tRNA) molecules are approximately 80 nucleotides in length. Their secondary structure includes four short double-helical elements and three loops (D, anti-codon, and T loops). The record is from Rfam by way of RNAcentral. Lineage: Eukaryota; Metazoa; Chordata; Mammalia; Artiodactyla; Bovidae. RNAcentral also lists the same sequence under 5 other names.